GGCAACAACGACCUGGGCGACCUGGGUGUGGUGAUGCUCUGUGAGGUUCUGAAACAGCAGGGCUGCCUUCUGCAGAGCCUCCAGUUGGGUGAAAUGUAUUUUAAUUAUGAAACAAAACAAGCCUUAGAAGCGCUUCAGGAAGAAAAGCCUGAGUUGACAGUUGUCUUUGAGCCUUCUUGGUAGGUGUGGAAACAGGACUGCCAGGUGCCACAGUCCUGCUCUGUGCCCCAGUGCAUACCAUUCUUCAUGGUUUUUAAAUUCUCCUCCACCAUCAGGACCACAGCAAGACUUCUAGUUUAGGGUCUGGAGCGAAGGCUCAUGUGGGGAGCCAAGCAUGUUUCCCGCGUGAAGACAGUGAUAACAUGGACCUGCCAGAGGAUGUGGUUCCCAUCAUGUCCUCAGUUGCCAAGAUGUUCCCUCUUGGUGACCUCAUGGAACCAACUUACAGAAAGUUUUUUGUUCUUUUCUUCUCCUGUGCUGCUCUUUUAAUCUCUCCCCUUCUCAUUUUCUUUACAUUUGCUCAUAUCAUUGCUUUUGUCUUUCUGUUAACUGACUUCUGUAUAGGUAGCUGGCUCUGUGCUAGAUGGCAAGUCUUUGGCAGCUACUUGUUUUCAUUUUUAGAGUUAUGUUUUCUGUUUAGCUACCUGAAAACCUAGAGAUUUAUAAAAUCCAUUUUUGUAUUUAUUGUAUUAUGUACUGCUUUCUUAAUUUAAAAAUGUAUCUAAAAUUCUUUUAAGUUAUUUAUAACUUAAUAAACUACAAAAAUAAA
Molecule: non-coding RNA, 769 nt
Organism: Cricetulus griseus (Chinese hamster)
Lineage: Eukaryota; Metazoa; Chordata; Mammalia; Rodentia; Cricetidae
Source: RefSeq, a predicted model, not a curated record